This 637-nucleotide ribosomal RNA is filed under the name uncultured bacterium. RNAcentral describes it as "bacterial SSU rRNA". It matches the Rfam family "Bacterial small subunit ribosomal RNA", at positions 607 to 1244 of the family's 1533-position model. The record is from RNAcentral.
GCUCGACCGGGGAGGGUCAUUGGAAACUGGGGAACUUGAGUGCAGAAGAGGAGAGUGGAAUUCCACGUGUAGCGGUGAAAUGCGUAGAGAUGUGGAGGAACACCAGUGGCGAAGGCGACUCUCUGGUCUGUAACUGACGCUGAGGCGCGAAAGCGUGGGGAGCGAACAGGAUUAGAUACCCUGGUAGUCCACGCCGUAAACGAUGAGUGCUAAGUGUUAGAGGGUUUCCGCCCUUUAGUGCUGCAGCAAACGCAUUAAGCACUCCGCCUGGGGAGUACGGUCGCAAGACUGAAACUCAAAGGAAUUGACGGGGGCCCGCACAAGCGGUGGAGCAUGUGGUUUAAUUCGAAGCAACGCGAAGAACCUUACCAGGUCUUGACAUCCUCUGACAACCCUAGAGAUAGGGCUUCCCCUUCGGGGGCAGAGUGACAGGUGGUGCAUGGUUGUCGUCAGCUCGUGUCGUGAGAUGUUAGGUUAAGUCCCGCAACGAGCGCAACCCUUGAUCUUAGUUGCCAGCAUUCAGUUGGGCACUCUAAGGUGACUGCCGGUGACAAACCGGAGGAAGGUGGGGAUGACGUCAAAUCAUCAUGCCCCUUAUGACCUGGGCUACACACGUGCUACAAUGGGCAGAACAAAG